CUCUGACAUCUUACCGGAUUUAUUGUCCAAGUACUGCAAGCGUAUAAGCUUUGGCACUUUAUCACCUAAAUCCAAGAUAACUCUAAACUCUAGCUGGACUAGGUCUUGAUUUAACUUGUGUUGCUUUGUCAAUAGCAAUUGGUUUUCCCACUGCUGAUGCAAUGGAAAUCAAUGAUUUCAAAGUAAGCAAAUCUGGUGAUAAAUCUGGCAACGAAAUCCAAACUACAGCCUUCAUUAUUUCCUGAUUAAAACCAGUGGUCCAUGGAAAAACUCGAUAUUGAUGUUCCUUUCCAUUGUAAGGAAAAUAAUUCACUUGCCUUGAUAAGCAAUCACAAGGUCAUCGUAUUGAUCAAACCUGAUUAGAAGUUGUCUUGGAGCGAGUAAACCAAUUAAACAGUGACCCUUCACGCCUAAAACUUUUGUCGGUAGCGUCCUUAAAACCUCCAAAUCAGGCGAACCUAAUGAUAGUUUAACUACAAUUGCUUGAUACCUGAUUAGAAGAUGAGAACACAACAUAGGAAACCCACACACGAAGAUCCUGGCUGAUUCACCAUUGUCUACCAGGAUGAAGUCGGAGUCCUUCAGGUGCACAAAGAUGACCAGUGGAUUCCCUUGGUGCCUUCCAAAGACAAACUAGUUGUUAACAUUGGUGAUGUAAUUCAGGUAAUCAUUAUAAUUUGGCUUGUGGC
RNAcentral lists this long non-coding RNA (689 nucleotides) under Capsicum annuum. Its description in RNAcentral is "long non-coding RNA (CANN_LNC011650)". The record is from RNAcentral. Lineage: Eukaryota; Viridiplantae; Streptophyta; Magnoliopsida; Solanales; Solanaceae.